RNAcentral lists this ribosomal RNA (468 nucleotides) under uncultured bacterium. RNAcentral's name for it is "partial 16S ribosomal RNA". It matches the Rfam family "Bacterial small subunit ribosomal RNA", at positions 28 to 507 of the family's 1533-position model. The record is from RNAcentral.
GACGAACGCUGGCGGCGUGCUUAACACAUGCAAGUCGAACGGAAAGGCCCUGCUUUUGUGGGGUGCUCGAGUGGCGAACGGGUGAGUAACACGUGAGUAACCUGCCCUUGACUUUGGGAUAACUUCAGGAAACUGGGGCUAAUACCGGAUAGGAGCUCCUGCUGCAUGGUGGGGGUUGGAAAGUUUCGGCGGUUGGGGAUGGACUCGCGGCUUAUCAGCUUGUUGGUGGGGUAGUGGCUUACCAAGGCUUUGACGGGUAGCCGGCCUGAGAGGGUGACCGGCCACAUUGGGACUGAGAUACGGCCCAGACUCCUACGGGAGGCAGCAGGGGAGAAUAUUGCACAAUGGGCGGAAGCCUGAUGCAGCAACGCCGCGUGCGGGAUGACGGCCUUCGGGUUGUAAACCGCUUUCGCCUGUGACGAAGCGUGAGUGACGGUAAUGGGUAAAGAAGCACCGGCUAACUACGUG